Molecule: long non-coding RNA, 570 nt
Filed under: Fukomys damarensis (Damara mole-rat)
Lineage: Eukaryota; Metazoa; Chordata; Mammalia; Rodentia; Bathyergidae
Description: lncRNA (ENSFDAG00000029178.1)
Source: RNAcentral
CCUGGGGCGGGGUCUGAGGGUGUGCAGUUCGAACACAUUCCCAGCGAGUGUUGAUACUGCCGGUCUCCCCAGACCACUCUGCACUCAGCGCCACAGUCCUGGGCCGUGUGCACCGCACAGCCUCGUCUACGACUGCUCUCCUUUCCUCCUUCCCAGCUGUACAUGCGACAGCCUGUCCUCACACAGCAUAGCCAUACAGAUUAAAGUCAACAACGGAGGCGAAGAGCACACCACAGAAGAAAAGAGGAGAAGGAGGCGCAUGGGGGAAAAUGUCCGCAUGUUGAACCGAAACUGUAAGAACCGCAGAGCCAAAGAGCCAAGAAACGCCAAGCUUGGGACACAGGAAGUCCUGGGGCAUGUCUGGGCACAACGUCAGAGACCACUCUUCCCACACUGUCCUCACUGUGUGCCGCAUUCAACCUUCCAUGUCUAAAACAAUUGCGUAAGCAUGUGCUGGCCUGGUAUUUUAUUCCUACAGCAAAUAGGAAACGUUUUCACUCUCUUCCUUCUCUUUUUAUGUCUCUUUUUAAAUUGUGUGGGAAUGAACUUGGGUUGUUUUUUGUUUUGUUU